Gossypium raimondii (Peruvian cotton) is the source of this 491-nucleotide long non-coding RNA. RefSeq lists it as uncharacterized. NCBI's taxonomy places the organism in Eukaryota, Viridiplantae, Streptophyta, Magnoliopsida, Malvales, Malvaceae. The transcript is spliced from 2 exons. The record is from RefSeq and is a predicted model, not a curated record.
GUUAAAAGUGGUAUCCUUCUUCUCCCUUAGAACCGAAAUUGGAAGAAAGGAGAAAGCUUGGUUUUAUCUCCCAUGAUCGGCCAUUGAAUUUAAGUAUUGCGGCCAUCGACUGUUUUCUCUUCAUUUCCCCUUCCUCUACGAGUCCGCGCGCUUUCGGACAAAAUCAUGGUUGCCUCCUUUAGUGACAAGUAUCAUAUUUUUCGGUAUAGACAUAAUGGCCUAUGUACAAAGAACUCUGGAGAAGGCAUCUUGAAGAGGCGUAAUUUCCCCACAAGAAAGAAUCUGAGAUUUCGCAGCCUCAAACUCAGAAGGAAGACCAGCUAAACAACUCAUCACCGCCAUUUGCUCUCAUUGAGCUUGCUGCACUUUGAUGUCUAAACUGAAUGGUAACAACAUAUUCAGUUCUUCAUAAGUUUUCUUGAGGUCCAUAAAUAAGCAGUGAUGGACGUGGCCUCUUUUUCAGCACGAUAAAAGGCUUUGCACACCUCAAA